AUUGAACGCUGGCGGAAUGCUUUACACAUGCAAGUCGAACGGCAGCACGGGAGCUUGCUCCUGGUGGCGAGUGGCGAACGGGUGAGUAAUGCAUCGGAACGUGCCCAUUUGUGGGGGAUAACUAGUCGAAAGACUAGCUAAUACCGCUUAAGCUCGAGAGAGGAAAGAGGGGGAUCGUAAGACCUCGCGCAGAUGGAGCGGCCGAUGUCCGAUUAGCUAGUUGGUGAGGUAAAGGCUCACCAAGGCGACGAUCGGUAGCUGGUCUGAGAGGACGACCAGCCACACUGGGACUGAGACACGGCCCAGACUCCUACGGGAGGCAGCAGUGGGGAAUUUUGGACAAUGGGGGCAACCCUGAUCCAGCCAUUCCGCGUGUGGGAAGAAGGCCUUCGGGUUGUAAACCACUUUCGGACGGGAAGAAAUCGACGUGACGAAUAAUCGUGUCGGAUGACGGUACCGUAAGAAGAAGCACCGGCUAACUACGUGCCAGCCGCCGCGGUAA
This 502-nucleotide ribosomal RNA is filed under the name uncultured bacterium. Its description in RNAcentral is "partial 16S ribosomal RNA". It matches the Rfam family "Bacterial small subunit ribosomal RNA", at positions 29 to 523 of the family's 1533-position model. The record is from RNAcentral.